ACCUAAGCCUCCCCUGGUGCAGCUUGAGGCCACUUACUCCUGUCCUGUCUCUGGCUGCCUGGGAAAAGAGGCCAUCGCCUACUUUUCCACAGGCUCCUCUCAGGUAUCCCUAAAGAGCUAUGAGGUCACCCCUGCACCUUCUUUUUUCCAGCCCCAACUCCCUCAGCUGGAUUCACCAUCCAGGCCUAACGAUGAACUGGCACGCCCAAAAUCCCCAUGUUGCUUUGAUGAAUAGAAAACACCUUUCAUGUGGCAUCUGAGUGACAGCAGCAAUUAUGACAAUUGAGAUUUGCUGUGGAGUGACACUGGUACAAUGCUGACAGCUGACCUGCACCCUCCAAAGCCUCCUCUUCAGGUGUAGAAUGAUGUGGAGCAAUAGGAAGGAUACUCUUCAAAAACAAGGUCACAGUGUUUUCCCCCACAGUGUGGGAAGAGUUGAGACAAGAGGCUGGUGAAUUUGCAGAUGCUCUAAUUAAACUUAUAAAGUCUGUAAAGAAAACUAUUUAAUGACAUUUUAGAAUUGUAACAUGCACAGU
Molecule: long non-coding RNA, 536 nt
Organism: Hirundo rustica (Barn swallow)
Lineage: Eukaryota; Metazoa; Chordata; Aves; Passeriformes; Hirundinidae
Exons: 3
Source: RefSeq, a predicted model, not a curated record